This 636-nucleotide long non-coding RNA is filed under the name Ananas comosus (pineapple). RNAcentral describes it as "long non-coding RNA (ACOM_LNC011381)". The record is from RNAcentral. Lineage: Eukaryota; Viridiplantae; Streptophyta; Magnoliopsida; Poales; Bromeliaceae.
ACCUAUCUUUAUAUAUAACACAUUUCUCUCCCAUAAGAAUUGUUAAACAUAUUUUUCCAGCCGAUUUUCUACCAGAUCGAUUUUAUUAGAGAUAAUUUUAAACUUCACAUCGCUCCGUGAAGUUAUCAUUUUUACUAUUUAAAGGCAAUUGUUUAUAUAUUUCUGAAAAUUUUUUGACUUUUUGAUUUACUCAUAUUAGAAGGCUAAUAUUAGAAAUAUUUUUUUUACAUUCCAAGUUAUUUCAAAUGUAUCCCUGCAGUUAAAUUAUGUUAAUAAACUGUUAGCAAUAUUCGUUAUCUCUGUUAAACUACUAGUUUACCCUUUCCAAUAUACCAAGCUUUCUAGCAUCACCAAUCUUUUUUUAUUUGCCCUUAAGUUAGGGGUAAAAGAAGUAUUUUGAUUUUUAGUUUUUUUUAAAUAUAUACUUAUACCAUUAACAACUUUUCUUAUUUACCCUUAAAUAAGAGUAAUAGAGGUAAUUUUAUUUUUUUAACUAUAACACAUAUUUAACUCACGUUUAAUCCGAGAUAACUUAACGGGUGAUAACUGCGGAAUUAUUUUUGACUAACGAAGAAAUAUGUGAGGGGUAUAAUCUAAGAAGUUAAAUCCCAUCAUCUCUUAUUAUUAUUAUAUUAU